UCAGUGUGAUGAUUUUUCUCUUCAUUGGUCCGUGUUUUUGAUCAAGCUGUGAUAAUAUUGAAGAUCUGACGAG
This is a small nucleolar RNA of Styela clava, 73 nucleotides long. RefSeq annotates it as small nucleolar RNA SNORD18. The record is from RefSeq and is a predicted model, not a curated record. NCBI's taxonomy places the organism in Eukaryota, Metazoa, Chordata, Ascidiacea, Stolidobranchia, Styelidae.